Molecule: ribosomal RNA, 182 nt
Filed under: Photorhabdus temperata J3
Lineage: Bacteria; Pseudomonadati; Pseudomonadota; Gammaproteobacteria; Enterobacterales; Morganellaceae
Description: partial 16S ribosomal RNA
Rfam family: Bacterial small subunit ribosomal RNA
Source: RNAcentral
UUUAAUAGAAGAGUUUGAUCAUGGCUCAGAUUGAACGCUGGCGGCAGGCCUAACACAUGCAAGUCGAGCGGUAGCAGGAAAAUGCUUGCAUUUUUGCUGACGAGCGGCGGACGGGUGAGUAAUGUCUGGGGAUCUGCCCGAGGGCGGGGGAUAACCACUGGAAACGGUGGCUAAUACCGCAU